CGACCGGCGCACGGGUGGGUAACACGUAUCCAACCUGCCGUCUACUCUUGGACAGCCUUCUGAAAGGAAAGAUUAAUACAAGAUGGCAUCAUGAGUCCGCAUGUUCACAUGAUUAAAGGUAUUCCGGUAGACGAUGGGGAUGCGUUCCAUUAGAUAGUAGGCGGGGUAACGGCCCACCUAGUCUUCGAUGGAUAGGGGUUCUGAGAGGAAGGUCCCCCACAUUGGAACUGAGACACGGCCAAACUCCUACGGGAGGCAGCAUG
Molecule: ribosomal RNA, 263 nt
Filed under: uncultured bacterium
Lineage: Bacteria
Description: partial 16S ribosomal RNA
Rfam family: Bacterial small subunit ribosomal RNA
Source: RNAcentral